This 253-nucleotide ribosomal RNA is filed under the name uncultured bacterium. RNAcentral's name for it is "partial 16S ribosomal RNA". It matches the Rfam family "Bacterial small subunit ribosomal RNA", at positions 524 to 776 of the family's 1533-position model. The record is from RNAcentral.
UACGUAGGGUGCGAGCGUUAAUCGGAAUUACUGGGCGUAAAGCGUGCGCAGGCGGUUAUGCAAGACAGAUGUGAAAUCCCCGGGCUCAACCUGGGAACUGCAUUUGUGACUGCAUCGCUGGAGUGCGGCAGAGGGGGAUGGAAUUCCGCGUGUAGCAGUGAAAUGCGUAGAUAUGCGGAGGAACACCGAUGGCGAAGGCAAUCCCCUGGGCCUGCACUGACGCUCAUGCACGAAAGCGUGGGGAGCAAACAGG